AUUGAACGCUGGCGGCAGGCCUAACACAUGCAAGUCGAACGGUAACAGGAAGCAGCUUGCUGCUUUGCUGACGAGUGGCGGACGGGUGAGUAAUGUCUGGGAAACUGCCCGAUGGAGGGGGAUAACUACUGGAAACGGUAGCUAAUACCGCAUAACGUCGCAAGACCAAAGAGGGGGACCUUAGGGCCUCUUGCCAUCGGAUGUGCCCAGAUGGGAUUAGCUAGUAGGUGGGGUAACGGCUCACCUAGGCGCCGAUCCCUAGCUGGUCUGAGAGGAUGACCAGCCACACUGGAACUGAGACACGGUCCAGACUCCUACGGGAGGAAGAAGUGGGGAAUAUUGCACAAUGGGCGCAAGCCUGAUGCAGCCAUGCCGCGUGUAUGAAGAAGGCCUUCGGGUUGUAAAGUACUUUCAGCGGGGAGGAAGGGAGUAAAGUUAAUACCUUUGCUCAUUGACGUUACCCGCAGAAGAAGCACCGGCUAACUCCGUG
RNAcentral lists this ribosomal RNA (490 nucleotides) under uncultured bacterium. Its description in RNAcentral is "partial 16S ribosomal RNA". It matches the Rfam family "Bacterial small subunit ribosomal RNA", at positions 30 to 507 of the family's 1533-position model. The record is from RNAcentral.